Molecule: ribosomal RNA, 492 nt
Filed under: uncultured bacterium
Lineage: Bacteria
Description: partial 16S ribosomal RNA
Rfam family: Bacterial small subunit ribosomal RNA
Source: RNAcentral
AGUGAACGCUGGCGGUAGGCCUAACACAUGCAAGUCGAACGGCAGCACAGUAAGAGCUUGCUCUUACGGGUGGCGAGUGGCGGACGGGUGAGGAAUACAUCGGAAUCUACUUUUUCGUGGGGGAUAACGUAGGGAAACUUACGCUAAUACCGCAUACGACCUACGGGUGAAAGCAGGGGAUCUUCGCACCUUGCGCGAUUGAAUGAGCCGAUGUCGGAUUAGCUAGUUGGCGGGGUAAAGGCCCACCAAGGCGACGAUCCGUAGCUGGUCUGAGAGGAUGAUCAGCCACACUGGAACUGAGACACGGUCCAGACUCCUACGGGAGGCAGCAGUGGGGAAUAUUGGACAAUGGGCGAAAGCCUGACCCAGCCAUACCGCGUGGGUGAAGAAGGCCUUCGGGUUGUAAAGCCCUUUUGUUGGGAAAGAAAAGCAGCAGGUUAAUACCCCGCUGUUCUGACGGUACCCAAAGAAUAAGCACCGGCUAACUUCGUG